RNAcentral lists this ribosomal RNA (497 nucleotides) under uncultured bacterium. Its description in RNAcentral is "partial 16S ribosomal RNA". It matches the Rfam family "Bacterial small subunit ribosomal RNA", at positions 28 to 507 of the family's 1533-position model. The record is from RNAcentral.
GAUGAACGCUGGCGGCGUGCCUAAUACAUGCAAGUCGAGCGAACAGACGAGGAGCUUGCUCCUCUGACGUUAGCGGCGGACGGGUGAGUAACACGUGGAUAACCUACCUAUAAGACUGGGAUAACUUCGGGAAACCGGAGCUAAUACCGGAUAAUAUAUUGAACCGCAUGGUUCAAUAGUGAAAGACGGUUUUGCUGUCACUUAUAGAUGGAUCCGCGCCGCAUUAGCUAGUUGGUAAGGUAACGGCUUACCAAGGCAACGAUGCGUAGCCGACCUGAGAGGGUGAUCGGCCACACUGGAACUGAGACACGGUCCAGACUCCUACGGGAGGCAGCAGUAGGGAAUCCUCCGCAAUGGGCGAAAGCCUGACGGAGCAACGCCGCGUGAGUGAUGAAGGUCUUCGGAUCGUAAAACUCUGUUAUUAGGGAAGAACAAAUGUGUAAGUAACUAUGCACGUCUUGACGGUACCUAAUCAGAAAGCCACGGCUAACUACGUG